UUUUCAGAUAGGAAGAACUUAUCAAAAUUGUCUUUUUUCCUUGUCAUCGAUUUUACAGCGUUGAUAUCGAUGUAUCUUAAUCGCUAUCGAAUACAGGUUAUCGUUUAUACAGUAGGGUUAUUUUAUAUAUGUAUUGAAUAAGCGUUGUUUUUAAGAAAUGUGGCUCCCCUUCGGUGUUAUCCACUUGAGUCAACCGCCUCAGUAGCCUAUUCUUGUUGUGGGGCACAGCUGAGAAGUCUGAAGAGCGAACGCUGUUUUUUGUGGGCACGAUACAAGUUGUUUUCUACUUUUUAUGUUGCUGAAAAAUCUUUUGGAGUUGCGGUUUGUGUGCGAUUCUAAUAAUCCUUUUCUUUACAUAUGUACAUACAUACAUGGGUAGGUAUGUAUGUACAUUUGAAUUUUCAAUCUG
Molecule: long non-coding RNA, 409 nt
Organism: Drosophila willistoni
Lineage: Eukaryota; Metazoa; Arthropoda; Insecta; Diptera; Drosophilidae
Exons: 3
Source: RefSeq, a predicted model, not a curated record